CCAAGAAUAUAGGGAAUUGAUAAAGUAUCAAGUUACAGAAGAUUUAAAUAGUCAGUGCCAUAGAGUCUAUCGCACUGAUUCCCAGAAUAUGAGUCAUUGCUUUUCUGAUAUUAUGACUCAAUUUAUAACAAACAUAAAAUGCCACAGUUUCACUCUGCUCUGGUGGUUGUGAGAAUCUGAGAAUAAAACAUAUUACCAGAGUUUUCUGUUUUCUUAUGGUCUCAAAUUUUAAAUUUCUUUGAUUCUUCUAAAAUGAAAGCAGGACAUUUUUCUUCUGUCUUUGUUUAUGGCUUAUGUUGUCUAAGCAGGAAGAGGCUGACCCAUUAGGACUAUAACAUUUUGAGUAAAACUAUAAAAUACUUUUCAACUUUUUAAUUUGAAUAUAUGAGAAGACAGAUAUAUUGAAUCAAACUUGAAACUGUACAAUUCUUUGAUGUUGUGGAAUGAGGGGGUUGAGAAGUGCUGAAACGGCAGGAGCAGAGUUAAUUUAGGAAGGAGCCCAGUUAUGGAUGGGAAGUAUUAACUGCUAAUGCCUGACUAUUUUUCUAUGCUGUGGCUAACAGACAUUUUCUUUUUGUUUAUUAUUUCAAGCUCUUUGAAUACCUGCAGGCAUGACACUUAGAAAAAUUUAUACUCUAUGGUUAAUGUCCUAUUUCCUUCUAUCUUAUGCAAUUUAAGUGUUUUCUUCCUUUGAUUAUAUGCAUACAAUGUAUACUUGUAAAAAUCACCCUCAAGUGAUUCAGCCAUGAGAUUAACACACCCAUUUGCCAAAUUCCCUGGAAUCUAUCAGAAUAAAGAAGAAAGCACAAGGAAACAAGCUGAGCUUAAGCACUUUCUCUUUCUUUUUUUCCUUUGAACCCCAUAAUUUCCUGCUGUGUCUGGGGAUCAGCUCUAAAUAAGUCUACUGCUCAAAGGACUGUCUUGUACACUGAGAAUAAAAAAAAAUUAAAAAGAUCUGCAUUCACAAAAAGAGAAAUGUGAAUAACAGCAUUCUUAAAAGGGUGUCGACAUUGUAGGCAUUUGUUCAAGGUAGGUUGUUGAAAGUCAGAAUACACUCCAAUGUCCAGUGAUGGGGGAAAGACCAUUUCAUAAGCAAACAUGCUUGUGUCACUUUGCCCAACACUGUCACACCAUUCACCACUGUGCUAAAACCAAUAACAGGUUCCUAAAAAGCCUAACAUUCACCCAGGUUUUUGCCUGGUACUGAUUGUCCUUGUCUAAUUUCACAUGUUAUAUUUGUAAGGAUACAGAUUCCUGAACUGGUAUGGAUUGUGCUCAUAAAAAUAUAGCUAAAACCUAUAUUUAGAUUUCCAGAGAAAUAGAACUAGUUGGAUAUCUGUCUAUCUAUCUAUCUAGAGCUUGAUUUAUUAUAAGAAAUUGGCUUACAUGGUUAUGGAGGCUGGAAAGUCCGAAAUCAGUGUAGCUAGUGUCCCAAUUCAAGUCUGAAGGCUGAAAGUUGCCAUAGAGACAGAAAAAGCCAAUGUCCCAGUUUGGAGGCCAUCAGGUAGGAAGAGCUGAGGUUUCUCUGAGGGAGAUGAGUUGUGAAUCACUGCUAUAGAAACAAUGGCGGUUGUUCAUUUCAUCCCUGAAUUUCCUUGUUUGUGAAUGAGAACUGAUGAGGUUGUCAGAAUUCAAUAUAGAUCCUAUAGAUCGUGACCUGUUAGCAAAACAGGCUUAAAAGGCAUUUUAGCUGUGUUUCAUUGCCAAUACCUCAUUCUUUAAAUGUAUUUAAGUCCUUCCUUGAUAACAAGAAUAGGCUGAAACUCAAAACCACAACAUAGAAGUUUGUACUUUAGGGGAGUUGAGUGCUCUUGAGCUCAGUACUAAGUUCUCUUCUGCUUUUCCAGGUAAACUUUCCUCUGGGACAUCUCAAGAGAUUCAUGGCUUUAAUAUCCUCUUCAUGCUGAUCAUUUCAAAAUAUGUUUCUCUGGCUCUCACUUCUCCAGUAAGCUCCAGACUUAUCAUCUGACUACUUAUUGGUAUCUCCAGUUAGAUGUCUAAUAGGCAUCUUUUAAACUAUAAAGAUACAUAUCCAGAAUAGAAUUUGGGGUCCAUUGCCCUCCAAAAUCUGAUCAUCACCCAGUCUCCCAUAUAUUAAUUAAUGACUCCUCUUUACCCUGUUGCUUAGGAUGUGGUAGAUCGUAUUUCUGUAAGUGACCAAAGCAAAGAUUUUUCAUUCCACAUGCUUUUCUUACAAUGUGACUUUUGCUCUCUUCCCUUGGGACUUGGGGUCUGUGGUCUUGUUCCUUAAAACUUGGUAGGGAUUUGUGACUAUCCCCACAAAUAGAAUAUAGUGGACAUGAUGUUUGGUGACAUUAAAAACCAGGAAAAAAGGCAAAACAGCUUCCAUCUGGCUCUCUCUCUUUGGGAAUGCUUCCCCUGAGCCUAGUCAUGCACCAUAAUGCAAGGAAGCCCAAACUAGUCCAUAGGGAAGGAUGAUACAGAGAGGCCAAAGUGAAGAAGCAGGGAGGUCCCCAACUCAAGCCAGCAUCAGCUGCCAUAGGUGUGAAUGAACAAGACAUCAGGUCUUUCCUACCCCCAGCUUUUGAGUCAUGUGGCCGAGAGCUCAGAUGUUCUGGGGGUAGAGACAUACCACUAAACUUUGGGUAGUUUAUUAUGCAGUUUUCGAGGAGGAAAAAUAUUUUUUUUUUCUGCCCAUCUUGGUUUUUCUGAUUGGUCUAAGAAUUAAAUUGACAUAAGACAUAUUAAAAGGAGAAAAUAAAACAAAAGUUUAAUAACAUGUGUACAUGGUAGAGAUGCAACAAAACCGAGUAACUGGCCAAAAUGGCUGAAACCACUUAGCAUCUUCAGCUAAAGGGAAAAGAAGAUGUUGGGUAGUGGGUUGGGAUUUCAGAAGGGAGGAAAGGAAUUCACAGGGAAAUUGAAAAACAAAUGCUUGCUAAAGAAAUGCUUGCUACGGAGUUCCCGUCGUGGCGCAGUGGUUAACGAAUCCGACUAGGAACCAUAAGGUUGCGGGUUCAGUCCCUGCCCUUGCUCAGUGGGUUAACGAUCUGGCGUUGCCAUGAGCUGUGGUGUAGGUUGCAGACGUGGCUCGGAUCCCGCGUUGCUGUGGCUCUGGCGUAGGCUGGUGGCUACAGCUCCAAUUAGACCCCUAGCCUGGGAACCUCCAUAUGCCGCGGGAGCGGCCCAAGAAAUAGCAACAACAACAAC
RNAcentral lists this long non-coding RNA (3171 nucleotides) under Sus scrofa (pig). RNAcentral's name for it is "lncRNA (ENSSSCG00025054894.1)". Lineage: Eukaryota; Metazoa; Chordata; Mammalia; Artiodactyla; Suidae. The record is from RNAcentral.